CACAGCACAGAGAAGAUUAGCAUGGCCCCUGGGAAAGGAUGACAUACAAAUUGGUGAAGCGUUCCAUAUUUAA
Molecule: small nuclear RNA, 73 nt
Filed under: Mus musculus (house mouse)
Lineage: Eukaryota; Metazoa; Chordata; Mammalia; Rodentia; Muridae
Source: RNAcentral